MicroRNA precursor from Gadus morhua (Atlantic cod), 61 nucleotides. The record is from Ensembl. Lineage: Eukaryota; Metazoa; Chordata; Actinopteri; Gadiformes; Gadidae.
UGGAAGACUAGUGAUUUUGUUGUUCUGUAAAUGAACCGACAACAAGUCAUUGUCUUCCUUG